Non-coding RNA from Acanthosepion pharaonis, 110 nucleotides. NCBI's taxonomy places the organism in Eukaryota, Metazoa, Mollusca, Cephalopoda, Sepiida, Sepiidae. The record is from the annotation of a GenBank genome assembly.
GGCAAUAUCUCGUUGAAACACCGCUUCUGGUCCGAUCACAGAAGUUAAGCAACGUCGAGCUGGAUUAGUGCCUAGGUGGGUGACAGCUUGGGAAUACAAGGCGAUGUAAU